CCUCGCCUUGUUUACCAAAAACAUCGCCUCUUUGAACUUUAUAAGAGGUCCAGCCUGCCCAGUGACUCUGUUCAACGGCCGCGGUAUCCUAACCGUGCGAAGGUAGCGUAAUCACUUGUUCUUUAAAUGUGGACUAGUAUGAAUGGCACCACGAGGGUUAUACUGUCUCCUUUUUCUAAUCAGUGAAACUAAUUUUCCCGUGAAGAAGCGAGAAUAUAAUUAUAAGACGAGAAGACCCUAUGGAGCUUUAAACAACCUAGCAAUUACUUCUAAAUAAUAAAUUUCAGAAUACUCAUUUUUUAAGCAAUAUGUCUGCAAGUUUUCGGUUGGGGUGACCAUGGAGAAUAACACAACCUCCAUAUUGAAUGAAUUUUCAUUCUAAGCUAAAAAUUACUAAUUGAAGCAUCAACACACUGACAUCUAUUGACCCAAUAUAUUUGAUCAACGAACCAAGUUACCCUAGGGAUAACAGCGCAAUCCACUUCAAGAGCUCCUAUCGACAAGUGGGUUUACGACCUCGAUGUUGGAUCAGGGUAUCCCAGGCGCAGCCG
RNAcentral lists this ribosomal RNA (551 nucleotides) under Rhinella proboscidea. RNAcentral's name for it is "partial 16S ribosomal RNA". It matches the Rfam family "Bacterial large subunit ribosomal RNA", at positions 1794 to 2561 of the family's 2925-position model. The record is from RNAcentral. Lineage: Eukaryota; Metazoa; Chordata; Amphibia; Anura; Bufonidae.